AGUGGCGACGGGUGAGUAACACGUGGGCAAUCUGCCCUUCACUCUGGGACAAGCCCUGGAAACGGGGUCUAAUACCGGAUAACACUCUGUCCCGCAUGGGACGGGGUUAAAAGCUCCGGCGGUGAAGGAUGAGCCCGCGGCCUAUCAGCUUGUUGGUGGGGUAAUGGCCUACCAAGGCGACGACGGGUAGCCGGCCUGAGAGGGCGACCGGCCACACUGGGACUGAGACACGGCCCAGACUCCUACGGGAGGCAGCAGUGGGGAAUAUUGCACAAUGGGCGAAAGCCUGAUGCAGCGACGCCGCGUGAGGGAUGACGGCCUUCGGGUUGUAAACCUCUUUCAGCAGGGAAGAAGCGAAAGUGACGGUACCUGCAGAAGAAGCGCCGGCUAACUACGUGCCAGCAGCCGCGGUAAUACGUAGGGCGCAAGCGUUGUCCGGAAUUAUUGGGCGUAAAGAGCUCGUAGGCGGCUUGUCACGUCGGAUGUGAAAGCCCGGGGCUUAACCCCGGGUCUGCAUUCGAUACGGGCUAGCUAGAGUGUGGUAGGGGAGAUCGGAAUUCCUGGUGUAGCGGUGAAAUGCGCAGAUAUCAGGAGGAACACCGGUGGCGAAGGCGGAUCUCUGGGCCAUUACUGACGCUGAGGAGCGAAAGCGUGGGGAGCGAACAGGAUUAGAUACCCUGGUAGUCCACGCCGUAAACGUUGGGAACUAGGUGUUGGCGACAUUCCACGUCGUCGGUGCCGCAGCUAACGCAUUAAGUUCCCCGCCUGGGGAGUACGGCCGCAAGGCUAAAACUCAAAGGAAUUGACGGG
RNAcentral lists this ribosomal RNA (810 nucleotides) under Streptomyces sp. RNAcentral describes it as "bacterial SSU rRNA". It matches the Rfam family "Bacterial small subunit ribosomal RNA", at positions 94 to 917 of the family's 1533-position model. The record is from RNAcentral. Lineage: Bacteria; Bacillati; Actinomycetota; Actinomycetes; Kitasatosporales; Streptomycetaceae.